Molecule: ribosomal RNA, 460 nt
Filed under: uncultured bacterium
Lineage: Bacteria
Description: partial 16S ribosomal RNA
Rfam family: Bacterial small subunit ribosomal RNA
Source: RNAcentral
CCUACGGGUGGCAGCAGUGAGGAAUAUUGGUCAAUGGCCGGAAGGCUGAACCAGCCAUGCCGCGUGAAGGUCAGUGCCCCAUGGGCGUUAAACUUCUUUUGUGCGGGAGCAAUAAUGGUCACGUGUGGCCAGACGAGAGUACCGUACGAAUAAGCAUCGGCUAACUCCGUGCCAGCAGCCGCGGUAAUACGGGGGAUGCAAGCGUUAUCCGGAUUUAUUGGGUUUAAAGGGUGCGUAGGCUGGGAGGUAAGUCAGCGGUGAAAUGCUCCCGCUCAACGGGGUGAAGUGCCAUUGAUACUGGCUGGCUGGAAUGCGGAUGAGGUAGGAGGAAUGUGUGGUGUAGCGGUGAAAUGCAUAGAUAUCACACAGAACACCGAUUGCGAAGGCAUCUCACGAAGCCGCGAUUGACGCUGAUGCACGAAAGCGUGGGUAUCAAACAGGAUUAGAUACCCGAGUAGUC